RNAcentral lists this transfer RNA (64 nucleotides) under marine eukaryotic metagenome. It matches the Rfam family "tRNA", at positions 5 to 66 of the family's 71-position model. Rfam says of the family: Transfer RNA (tRNA) molecules are approximately 80 nucleotides in length. The record is from RNAcentral.
CCGUAGCUCAGUGGAUAGAGCAACCGCCUCCUAAGCGGUAGGUCGGAGGUUCGAAUCCUCCCGG